Molecule: ribosomal RNA, 119 nt
Filed under: Microbacterium tenebrionis
Lineage: Bacteria; Bacillati; Actinomycetota; Actinomycetes; Micrococcales; Microbacteriaceae
Description: partial 16S ribosomal RNA
Rfam family: Bacterial small subunit ribosomal RNA
Source: RNAcentral
UUUACGGAGAGUUUGAUCCUGGCUCAGGAUGAACGCUGGCGGCGUGCUUAACACAUGCAAGUCGAACGAUGAAGCCCAGCUUGCUGGGUGGAUUAGUGGCGAACGGGUGAGUAACACGU